RNAcentral lists this ribosomal RNA (300 nucleotides) under uncultured Staphylothermus sp. Its description in RNAcentral is "partial 16S ribosomal RNA". It matches the Rfam family "Bacterial small subunit ribosomal RNA", at positions 496 to 795 of the family's 1533-position model. The record is from RNAcentral. Lineage: Archaea; Thermoproteati; Thermoproteota; Thermoprotei; Desulfurococcales; Desulfurococcaceae.
GAUAAGUUGGGGCGGGGGGCUGCGGUGAUACGAGGGGGGCAAGGGUUGAGCGGAAGUACGGGGGGGAAAGCGGGGGUAGGUGGUGGGGUAAGUCGGAGGGGAGAGCGCUGGGCGUAACCGGGGAAUGGCAUUGGAAACUGGCGACCUAGAGUGCGGUAGAGGGUAGUGGAAGUCCCGGUGUAGCAGUGAAAUGCGUAGAGAUCGGGAGGAACAUCCGUGGCGAAGGCGACUACCUGGACCAGCACUGACACUGAGGCACGAAAGCGUGGGGAGCAAACAGGAUUAGAUACCCCAGUAGUC